This 14746-nucleotide long non-coding RNA is filed under the name Eutrema salsugineum. Its description in RNAcentral is "long non-coding RNA (ESAL_LNC000764)". Lineage: Eukaryota; Viridiplantae; Streptophyta; Magnoliopsida; Brassicales; Brassicaceae. The record is from RNAcentral.
ACAGGGAUUUUCUCUUCAAGAAUAUUUCACUAGUAAAUCUGUUUGUAACUUACAAGUAUACAGAACCCGAUUUAGAGCAACCUCAAGACACACCUUGAUUUGCUACACUAGCCUCACUUGUUCUUGAAUCGAUACGUGAUUCAAGAACCUCUCACCCAAAUCUCUUAGCACACUAGCUCACAAAAACUCUCACAGAUUUUCGCUCACCCUUUGCGAAGUAUUCUCUCAGUUGUGUUGAAAAACCCUACAAGGUUUUUCACACGCCUAUUUAUACAUAAUAGGACUUGCGGCUACUCCUCGCCUAGAUCCUCUUUGUGAUUUCUCCAAAUCUUCAUGAGAAUCUUCACCUGGAGAUAGAGGAAACUUGAUAUUUUCUUCAAAGAUCCUCCAAGAUACUCCAAGCUUCCUAUCCACGUCAGCUUCUCGUCUUUUGAAGUGUCCAGCACGUCCUGCAGCUCCAGCUCAGCUUCCAGCUCACCUCAACGUGUGUAGAUUGCUUCGCAAGUCUUCCUGUGUCAGUUCCAGAGCUAGUCGGACUGCUACACGUGCUACUCCAGCCUUGUUUGCAUCUUCACUUAAGCCUGCCCGCAAAUUCAAGCUGCUUCCGUCGUCAUUCUUCAACGCCAGCAGUCACAGACGCCAUCGUAAUCAGUGCUAGCUAAGCUUCACCGCCAGCGACUCCAAUCCCCACAUCCAAUUAAUCUCAUGCCUUGAUGUCUUUCUUUCGCCAAUCUUUCAACUGCUUUUAGAUUUGAUUCUAGAUCUCCAUCUUCAAGGAAGCUUUGUCGCUGAUCAGAUCCAAUUUAUUAAUCUAAGCAAUGUUCAUGGUUGUUCUGAGAAUCGAGCAAGAGGAAAACAACAAAGAUAUUACUCCAAGCCAGAAGAAAAUCUGCAACAAAACUUAAAAGAAAAUCGCUGAAUCGAAGAAAACAUGGCCGACAAAGAGAUUGCAAAAGGAGAAACCCAAACUUAGCCAGAAUAUUAUUAUCCAAAAAACAGCAAAAGAAAAUUCGAUCAAAAUCAAAAUGUAUAUAAUCAAAACCAGAAAACUUCGGUAAAGAUUCCGAUUUCAGAAAAAAAAUCAGAAAUUGCCUCUCUCUUUCUCUCUCUGAAAAAUAGGUGUGAGAGAGGAGACAUAGAUUUUUUUCUAUUGAUUUUUUUUGUGAGAGAAUCGAGCAAGAGGAUUUAUUUUUGUCGAUAUGGAUUAUAUUGAUUAAACCCAAAAGGCUGAAAUUAAACUGGCCAAUAUUGGGCCUCUCACAAUGAUAGUGAAGAGAUAAGUGGAAAAUAGAUGAUUACACGUGUCCCAUGAUUCAUCCCCAGGUUAUACCACGUGUAUAUCUUCUACAAUCGCCGUCAUGUCAGCUACUCCGGCGACUCUCCGAUUUCCGUUGCAAUUAAUUUCGUACCUCUGCACUAUUUCUGCCGAUCUUCAGUUCCUGAAAUAUAUUUGUCAGAAUGAACAAUUCAUGAUGAAAUUAAGACAACUUCUAAGUUUUAUCCAUCGUCGCCGUCAGAUCUACUCUAUUGAUCAAAACUAUGUCUGCCGUUUCAAAACUACUCCAUAAUGGUUCCGGAAGUUGCUGGAAAAGACCAUCCGAGAAUCACUGGAUGUGUUGCGUCCUUUGUUUCGACAAUGUAGCUCUAGACCUAUCCUCAAAGGGAUAUCAUAAGCUACUCCUUUGGGUGUUGCACUAGAAUCAUCCUCUAGACUUAUCUUCGUCCUAGUCCUGCGAAAAUGCUUAAUAGCAAUUGCCUUGGACAUCAUAUUGAGACAAGCUCCAGAAUCACAAAGCACAUUGUUAAACAUUUCACCUCUAACUGAACAAGAGAUGAGAAACUGACCUUGGCCUUCGAUUUUGUGAAGUGUUCGAACAGGUCUACCUUUUCUGGCAUGAUUGAACAAGUCUUCUAUUUCAGGAAUGAAUUCCUUUCUCUUACUGAAGUAAUGGCCGAUCAUGAAGUCUUUGCAAGCUCUGGCAAAGGUGAUUCCUUCAGGUAAGUUUCGAACUACAUCAUUGAACUCGACAAGCUUUUCUUUGCUGAUUUUGUUGGUGUAGUAACUGCAUUCUUCAGGUCUUUGAAGGUGAAUUGCAUAGACAGCUGCUUCUGGUGAUGUUAGGUAUCGGGCUCGCAUAAAGUGUGUGUGGAUUUCCUCCUUAGACUCCUUACAGUAUCUGAAUAAUACCUGCAAGCAACGAAGCUUCCAGACAUCAUCAAAGCUUAGAUGAGCAGGGAGUGCUUUGACGAAGUUGUUAAACUCUAUCAGUUGAUCCAUUCAACUUCUGGGGUACUGCUUCCUGAGGAUUAUCCUGCUUCUGGGUCCUCUACGAACAAGCCAUACUCUUCAUCUUCAGAGUAUUGUUCUUCAUACUCAUUUUCACAAGACAAAGCCAUGUUUCAGAGUAUGGCUUGUCUUCGUCUUCAGAUUCCUGAGUGCUGAUAGAGUAAAUCAGUUGCUGAGAAAGGGGUCUAGCUACUCUAGAAGGUGCAUCAGACGAACAACUGCUUGUAUAAGCCGGAUGAGGCUGUCUUGGAAUGUUUUGACGGCUGGUCGUGACUGCAGGAGAUGCGACUGCAGGGAAUCAACUAUGGGCCGCAGGUUGGCUAAGCACAACCACGGGUGGACGUCUCUUGGUCGUGGUCACAGGGAACACGACCGCGGGAGAGUGUCUUCGAAGUGGAUUGCUAGAAUUGCUUGCUGUUUUGCUUCCUGAAUGAUCUCCUGGGUCUUCUGGUUCAGUAUACUUUCUCUCUUGGCCUAGGUCUUUAAUGUAGAGUACCGAAAUUUGGUUUCCAAGUCCUUGCAUGAUCUCCUCAACUUUUUCUUAAACUUCAUCAGGAGCAUAAACAACCUUAUCUAUGGUUGAGUCAAGCUCUUUGGUUUUGUCAAUAAUCUUGUAUACCUUCUCUGAAACUUCAACCGUGAAGUCAUAAGACUCGUUAUUAGCUUCGUUGAGGGCAUUUUCCACAUCUUCGAGUUUGAAAUCCAGGUCCAUGAUCUUGUUUUUAGUGUUGCAAAGCUCGUGAGCGUGCUUACUUGUUCUUCUUCCAUGUUGUCGAAUCUAUUAGCGAUCACGGCUGCGUCUUUGGUUGCUCGUUCCUCCAUCGAUUUGAUCUGGGAAGCAAGGUCAUCAAUCUUCUCGUCCAAAAGCUUUGAUAUGCCCUCAAUCUGUUCGUUAAGAGCGGCUGUAGUAACGGCUUGAGCUUCAAUAAACUGUUUGAUCGUGCCUUCAAGCUGCUUCAAUUGAUUACUGAUCUGGACGUUCUCAUCCUGCUGGAGGAUUUGGUGAGGUAGGCGAUAAACAGGUGGUCUAGGUUUCACCAUGGGAGGCGUGUAAGGGUUGUCCAGGAAUGCUCGAUAGUUCAGAUUUGAGUUCCGAACCGAGUUGAAGAGGUUGCGUAUGUAUUGCUCUUCUCUGAGUGUUGUAAAAACAUCCCUCGUAGUAGUUCGGUUUAUAUAGUCUAUUGCUUCGGGAACUUAAAGAAAAAGAACUAACAAAAAAUGGAAAUAAGCAGAAAAAAGGUUCUAGAGUCGAUUUACCAACCUUUCUUACGGCUUUGCGGAAAAAAAAACGUGUGCCUUCCCUGGCAACGACGCCAAAAACUUGAUGUCGUUGGUGAUGAGGGUGUCAAGAUUUACCCUAAAUGAAAUUAAUUAGCCGCAAGUGCACAGUUGAUCAAUUGUAGUACUUAGGGAUCGAAUCCAUAGGGAAUGAUGUUCUUUUUUACAAAAUCCUUCAAAAGAAAUAUGAAGUAAGGAAGUCUAGAACCAGGCGAUUUUUUAGAGGGGUUUUGGUGAUGUCUUUAAAACGUAAAAACUAAUCUUAACGGAAUCCGGGAAUUAAAAUGACCUAAUAUCUAAACUUAAUGAAAUCGACUAAAAACGAUGAAAACGGCUAUACCUAAAUUGCUUGAAUGAAAACUGGAAUAAGAAAAAUAACCUGAUGACUAAAACUUAUAUUGAAAUCGGCGAAAACUUAUAAGAACGAGACGUUGGGUUUUCAGGGAAAUUCUCUCCGGGGGAUGAACGAUUCAAAACAUUGCUAAAAAGUAAAUUUAAAAGAUCCUUGCUAAAAACUUUUAAAACUUGAGUCACGAACGUAUGAAUACGCCACUGUCGUGAUCAUAACCAACUAUCUCUCGCAACCCUGACCAGUAGGUUUCCACUCUGACCCUGGAAGAGAAAAGAUGCAACCUUGCUUAAGACUCGUCAACAUUCACAAUUCGCCCAUAGGUAGGUUUCCACUCCUAUAGUUGAUCUGCUCUUCUCAAACUAGAUCUGACCCCGGAUGAAUACUUUCGCAACACCAAGGACCAAGAUCAGAUUGUAGUUCAUGACGAUACUCUCAUGCAUUAAAAAUGGGCUUUGAGGUCGGACAGACCAUUCUCCGCAUUCGGGAAUGACGGGACCGGUGCAAAAUGGGUGUUGGCUGCGGUAGGAAUAUUUACCGGCUAGUUUACGGGACAUCAUGAUCUACUCAUAACUUUUGAUUGAACAGUUGGAUUGCCAUUCUGUUGAGUUUUCUGGAAAGCUGGUAUUUCCAUCUUUCAGGUCUCCAAAUUUGAGUUGGAUCAGACGGUGAGAAGGUCUUCAUUUGAGGGUGAACUUCUGACGGUUUGACUCUGAGCUCAAAUCUGGUCUUCUAUCCAUUUUGUUAAGCUUUUUCCUAAGUUUCCUGAAAAGAGUCUUGAAACUACAAAUACUAGAAAAACAUAAUAAAAACACUUGAAAGCAAUAAAAAAACUUAGAAAAAGUAUUUCAAAACGAUCCAUAAAAGUGGUCAAAAUACAGUGUUAUCAUUUACUUCGCUCAAGUGAGCUUGAUUGUUCUCAGACUUAGCCUUUCGGCGACACUCCAAAAUUUAUGUCCAAGCUUGUUGCAGUAGUUACACUUCCCAUUGAACUUAUUCAUGGUGAUUGACUGAUAACACCGGAUUUUGACCAUUUUUAUGGAUCACUUUAAUAUCUUUUACAUGUGUUUUUACUUCAUUUCCAAAGGUUUUCAAAGGAUAUCUAUGUUUUCGGAUUUUAAAAGACUUUUCAGGUAAUUUGGGAUAAAGAGGCACAAAUUGGAACAAAAAGACUCAUUUGCAGACCGUCAGAAUUCUCAUGGAGAGACGAAGACCUUUUCACCGUCUGAUCACCCUCAAAAUUGAACAACUUAUAGAAGAAUCAACCAGCUUUCAAAUGCACUUGGUUUGGAGACAUUCCAACGGUUGGAUCUCAAGAUAUUUCAUUAGCCCCGGAGCCACUCGAAGACGGCCAGCAAGUCACGUGACCGCGGCCAACAGCCCAUUUCCCGCGGUCAGAAGCCUCCCGACCGCGGCCAACCACCUAAUCCCCGCGGUCACGUCACUCCCGACCGCGGCCAUCAAGCUCCGAACUAAAGCCCAUAUAUCUGAAGCCCAAAGUCAUUCUCAGCCUCAAUUCCGGAACCCUAGAGACCAUGGAGAAUUGAAAACUAUAAAUACUAGUCUUUUAUGUCGUUUUUAGAGAGAACCCUUCAUAGUUUACAAAAACUCUUUUCCUUUAGCCGUUUUUAUGCUAUUUUUGUAGAAGAUUGUUCAAGUCCGAGUUCUUCAAUAGAGAAGCUUUCUUCAUCUCUUUUCUUUACUGUUUUUCAUUACUUUUAUUAAAAUCAAUGAUGAUGUCGACCUCAGCCAUGUCUGAGUAGAUCCCGAGUUGGGCUUAGGGUUCCCGAAAGGGGCUCUCAUAAUCGAUUAAGACAUCUAGGUUUAUAGAUCUGGGAUUUCGACUUGUUCUCUGUUUAUUCUUGUUCUUAUUGCAUGUAUGCUUGAUUGAUCACCUAAUAUCUGAUCUAGAUAGUUAAUGUUGUGAAAGUUUUCAUUAAGUAUCAGCUCUAGAAUGAAAUAGGCGAUUUUUCCGUAGGAGUGGAAACCUACCUGCGGCGAGAUCGUGAGUAUUGACGAGUCUUGUGCAGCUCUUGCGUUCUCUCCCUUCCAGGGCCAGAGUGGAAACCUACUGGUCAGGGUUGCGAGAAACAAUUGGUUAUGAUCACGACAGUGACGUAGUCAUACCGCCGUACUCUAGCUCUAGAACCCAUAUAUAUCGAUAUCCGUCAAUCCCAAUCUAUCUACCCUAGUGUCAAAACCGAUUAUGAUCCCUUAAAGUUCCCGAAAGCUCAGCGUUUUUAGCCAUAGUUUACAAACCAAUCGAUUUUCGCUUGCUUAUUUAGAUCUGCAUUUUAAUUACCUUAGUUUGAUAUUUACUUGUUUUACUUGCUUUCCAUUCGAUCUUUCUACUUGCUUUCUAGGAUAGAUUUAUUUUCUUUCUUUUGUUUUAGUUUAAUUCGUGAUAAAAAACCAACCUUUAAAACCAAUCUAGUCUAGACAUAAAGUUAGAAACCAUAGAAGAAUACCAGGCACACAAAUCUCUGUGGAUUCGAACCCUAAAUACUACAACUGAUUAGCUGUGCACUUGCAGCUUUCAUUUGUUUUGUUAAGGGCAAAACUUGUUCCCUCACGCAGUUGACACGACAUCAUUGACCUUGCUUCUUGAAGCUUGUGUUUUUUUGUGGAAGAAAGUUGUUAGGCGCACCAUUGUUGGUCAUUAGUUUGCCUUUGCCUUUUUUCUUGUAAUCAGCCACGUUUGCUUCAUGGGUAAUUAUCUGACCAUCUUCUUUUCCAACUCUGUCACGUUUUAGUGACUCAUUCUGCAAUCUGUAAAUCAGAUUUGCCAGAGACAGGGCUUUUUGCUUGUAAGCAAGAUAGUUCUGGAUGUCUGCCCAACUUGGAGGUAACUUCUCAAUGAAGCAGUUUAUCGUGAAUGUCUCACACAGCUUCAUUCCUUCAGUUCUAAUCUCAUGAAAUAUUAGUUCCAGCUUGUGAACUUAUGGCAUGAUGGGGCGAGAAUCCACCAUCUAGAACAUAAGGAGUUUUGCUGUAACGAAUGUCCCAGAGCUGACGUUGUAUGAUUUGUACUUCUUUUACAAAGCAUCCCAGAGUUCUUUGGAAGUUUUGACCUUGUUGUAAAACGUUGAACAGCUGGUCCACCAGGCGAUUUUCGAUGUGCACUUUACAUAGGAAGUCUGAGUGCUUCCAUGCGUCAAGAGUGGCAAGAAUCGCAUGAUCUUUAUUUCCUUUUGGUACCUCUAGUGGAUCCUCUUUGAGGUAAUUGCUUAUCUGCAUUGACGACAGAAAGAAGUGAAUCAUUUCUUGUCACUGCUUGAAGUUCGAACUAUCAAACUUUUGGGGCUGAACUUCUGUCGCUGAAGUCCUGCAGUUACCAACACUAGUAUCGUGGUUUCACCCGAUCCUGUAUUAGCUCCAUUGAAAGUCAUGCUGAUGUCACCAGAAUUCAUUGUUGAAUCUUUUCAGAAAAAAAUACCGAAGUUAGUAUUGAGAAACAGGAUUCAAAACAGCGAUUAAAAUGAUUAUGUCGCUAUACACAGCGUUCUUCGAAAAGGAUUCGCUUUGAGUUUUCACAGAUAUUACCAAUAGGUAUUCUUAGAACUCAAAAAUAGUUAUUCCUAGAAUCGUCUUAAGAUGUUCUUAAACGCUAUUUUUGUUGUAUUAACAUAUCAUUUUGAAAACAUUUCGCGGACCUGUUUGCGACUGCCGCAUAAAUCCGUUUUAUAAAUUCGUCUUUAACAAAUCAAAAGUUGUAAGAAAUAGCUAAGAAACUUUCACAUAGACUUUGUAGAUCAAUUUUAAAAACUUGUUGUUUCCAAAACCGUUUAUAAAUAUUGUUCGCAAUAUUCAAUCUGAUUCAAGCGAUAAGCAGGAAGCGGUAGUGAGUUAAGAAUGUAAGACUGCGAAAAUCUGAUUGAAAUCACAAAAGAGAAUAAUAAUAUUAUAAAUGAUAUGUUAAAGAAAGUGAAUAAAACGAGACUUUGAAAAACGUUUGAAAACAAACAAAACACGGAGUCGAGAUAUGAUAUCUUUCCUUAACUCAAUAAAUCGCUGGUAAUGUAUGACCGUACAAAGUGAUUUUUGAAUCCUAGGAUACAACCGUGAUGAGAACACCCAUAAUAGAAUCUACGAAUUGAAAUAACUACGUUAUGACUCUUGAGACACUUACGAUAUUAAGGGAGAGAGAUUUGCUGGAAGAAUAUUUUGCUUAAGCUUUUUCUGAUUUUUUUUCAGUGUAUCGAAUGAGAAGAGAGGAGGUGUCUAUUUAUAUGGAAUACUCAGCUUGAUCCACAAGAAAUAAGCUUUGGCAAAAAGGAAUAUCCGUGAGAUAGUCUCCUUUUUCCCUUAAGUAAAAGGAUUCGAAAAUAUUCCGUAAUUAUCUUCAAGUAAUCUUUUAUUAUUCAAGAUUUAUCCUUUCGCUAUGCAAAAUAUUAUCCCGAAAGAACUAAGAAGCCCAUGACUCACGCCCAGCUAUAUAGAGCCCAAGAGCCAACUAAAAAUGCAAUGAGCAAUGAGCGCGAGCACGAACGCGAGCCCGAGCCCGGCGACGGCAGCGCGCGUAGAUGUUUUUGCAUAAUACCCUUUUACUUCCACAAAACUGUUUGACCCUUAUUGUGAGAAUGCCAUAUAUAUUCGAGAGGUUUCUCUCCUUGCUAAGCAAUGUGGUACUUUUACACUUCCACUUUUAGUUAUACCUAAUGAGAACAUUUCAUUUUCAUAGGCUCAAACUCAAAUCUCAAAUAAAUUUAUAAGGUCCAUUUAUUUAUUAAACUUCAUUUCUCAUACACAUAAAUACUCAAUAUUACAAGAUCAAAUGCUUAUUAAAAUUGAGUUCCAACUAUAAAUACUGAAAAGGUGCAACCCAAGGUUGAUCCGAAUCGGAUCAGACUUUUGAAAACAGAUAAACCAAGUAAUGACACAUCGGUCAGUAGUAUCAACUUGCAGACCAAUGUGAACAAUUGUAGAGAUUCAGCUAGAAUUUUUUUUUUCUCUAUAUGGGAUUCUAUAUAUCAGUUUGCAGCUGACAUGAUUGACAAGUCUUGACUAAACUGAACAUAGCUUUUGAAGCAGAGGUUGCAAGAAUUACGUGAAGCUAACCAAAUUUACCAUCUUGUCAUUAAAUUUUAGAAUAAAACUAGGUGAAUACCUGCAUGUAAUGUGCAUAUUUUUUUCUUCAACUAUUUCAAAUUUGUAUAUUUUUAUAAAAAAAAUAUAAUCAUCAUUUGUUAUGUGUUAGUGUAUUAUUAUUAUAAAUCAAUCAAUUUAAAAUAUAAUAUCAUAAAAGAAUCAAGAGUUUAUACAAAAAAAAUAUCUAUUAAUAAUUUUAAUUAAUUAUAAUAUAAAUUUUUGUUUAAUAUUUAUAUAAAUUUUAUUUAAGAAUCAAUUAAUAAAAAAAAAAUUUCAUUUUCUUUAAGUGGUUUAAAACUUAAUAUCAAAAUUUAAUAAUGAAUUUUCUUUAAAAAAAUUGUAACUUUAAGCUAAAAAAUACGAUACAUGGCAUCUCUAUAUUAACUCUCAAAUGCUGAUGUGGCAUUUAUAUGGAGAGAGUUGAUCCUCUUUUAUAUAUAUGAUGUGCACGGGAAGAUUUUCAUCUGUUAUGAUCUUUCAGCCAUAUCAGAUUAUCUCUGCAUAUUUUGACAUGUUUUUAGAAACAAUGUCAUAUAAUGAGAAUUAUAACGCAAAAAUGAAGCUACAUAGAUUGUAUAUGUUGUAAUCGAAUUUGAGCUUUAUCUAGAAACGGUAAGGCUUUAAUUCAAGAUGAUCUUCGUAAUACAUCCUUUUGGUAUGUAUCUUCAUGUUUGCUUCUUUUCACGCGAAAGUGUAUUUUCCAUAUUCUUUGGAACUCCAUAAAGCUUUCUUGACCCAGUCAACUUCCAAACACCUAAAGCUUUCUUAACCGAGUCAACUUCCAAACACCUAAUGGAACACAAAUAUAUCCAAAACAAGAGGCAAAUACACUCUAUGACUCCUCAAAUGUGCAACAAGACUCACGAGAAAUCUAUAUGUGACAUUCUGUCUGAUUCACUUGUUGCCGGAGCAACAUAAUUUUUUCUUUUCUUUUUAUCUAUUUUUUUUAUUUGGGCACAGCUUUAAUCCCUCAAAUGAACGUUGUAGUUUAUUAAAGAUCUAGUCGGAUGGGAUCCACUGGAAAUCUCUCCAAUCACAGUUUCCGUCAAGGGGACUCAUUAGAAAUAUUUCCAGAACAUUGCCGUUGAACAAGGCUUCACCUUCACAUUUUGCAACACAAAACAAAUUACGAGUGUUAAACUAGACCCGCAUCACAUUUCUAACAUCAUGGUUAAUUACAUCUACAAAUUAUACUCAAACAUGCACUAAAUUGAUCCAAAUUACUUGAAUAUCAAUUCCUCCGGACUUGCCUUCCCACAUUAGUCUAGUUUUAAUACAGCUAUUUCUCGUAUUCUCUAUCAAGUGGUUGAUAUUAUGUAAAAGAAUGAUGUAUGGUAUAUUAUGGAUUGUUUAAUGACUAGUUUGCUAAUAUAGUCUAAAACAUAUGGUCAUUAAGUUUAUGAAGUAUGGUGAGUCCAAUUUUUUGGUGCAACGAUUGUUCACUUUUGUUAAAUUUUAAUAUGUUGCAACUUUGUUUGUAAAUGCUGAACUAUCAUUACUAUAAAAUGAUAUCCUAAAUGUAUUCAAUGUUACAUCUUCUAGCAUAGUUCCAAUAUUUUUUAAUGCAUUAUGGUAUCCUUUUAAAUGUUAACCCCAUAAGCGAAAUUGAAAAAAUUGCCUCAUAAUCGAUAUUUUCAUUUGGUAAAAAAGUUCGACAAUCCCAAAAAUAUAAUGUUCGCUAUUGAGAACCUAUAAGAAAACAAAAAAUAAGGAUUUAAAUGUUUUAGAGUCUUUUUCAUAAAAACCAUCAAAUCUAAAUCAUAUUUUUCUUGCAUUUUUCGAAUUUAUGUUCACAAAAAAAAAUCGUGAAAACAAACACAUGAGGACUAUUCUGACAACCCAUUGGCAUCUUGUUGUUGCAAAAGUUAGUUAUGUUGAUGAUUUUUAUUGUUUAUUGUACACCUCAAUUUUUACGUCAAGUACAGACUCUAAGGCAAUAUCUAGAAUAAAAGAUCUUACUCAAGCAAAAAGCAAACAAAUCAAAAUAUGAACUGUGUUUUGUUCAAAUUCUUAGAUGAAGCAACUAAGAGAUUGGAUAUAAGCUGAUUUGAGAUUAUCAUAUUCAAAGCCAGCCAUGACCAUCAUAUGAUGUGGAAUUUUUUGUGAUAAAGUGAAUCUUCUAGACCACAGAGAAUGUUUCACAAAGAGUAAAGACGUCCAAAUUCAUCGGAAAUUCAUGGGCACAUGCAUAAUCAAUUUACUGUUUUUAUUUAUAAUCAAAUCUGUUAUUGCCUAGUUUUUGUAACCAAUUAUGCUCUUGCCUUGUUCUUUUUAGGAAUGCCAUGGAUACGAAUUCUGGUUAGAUGAAGUUAUGAGGCUGGUUUUUGUGAAGUUAGGAGGUUUGUUAUUGAAAUUAGUAUUUAUUAAAUUAUUAAGCAAUAUGAAUUUCAUUUGUCGAUGAUACAACCAUAUACGAGAAAAACUGUACAAUCAUAUGUAGAUGAAUGUAAGGAUUGAGUUUGUAUAAAAAAAUUUCAUAUAAACAAUAAAUUUUGUUGUUGCUGAUGAACAUAAAGCAUUUUUGGUGUCUUAUUAAUAAUGUUGGCAGAAAACAUUUUAUUUCAAAACAAUAAAUAUAUUAUGAGAGAAAUGAGUAAUCAAAACUCUUGAUACUUUUUAUGUUAUCGUAUAAUAUUUGAUUUUUAGGGAAUGAAUUAACUAACUUUAGAAUUGAAAUAAAUUUUGAUGAGAAGAAUAAUUUUUAAAAAAAAUUAUUGGUCUAUUUGGAUAAUAGCUACUAAAAUAUCUAAUAAAAAAAAUCAGAAGAAAAAGUCAGAGAAAAAACCCAAUACAUAGUAGAUGAAAUAGAAGAUGAUGAUAUUUCUGAUCAGAAUCUUCUUGUUGAUGUGCCGUCUAAUGGAUUAUUUGUGCCAUUAUUAAGUAUAAAUCUUUUUAGCUAUGAAGAUAAUGAUAUUUCUUAUCAGGAUCUUAUUCUCGAUGUGCCGUCCAAUGGAUCAUUUCCGCAAGCAAAACUUCUUCACAUGCUGCUCAAUGGAGUAUUCCUUCAAGCAGAACUUCUUCACAUGAUAUGAUAGAAGGGAAAGUUUUUCAAAUUUAUACUUAUCAAUAUCGAUUUUACAAAUUUUGUAAUCAGUUUUGUAUACAUCUCAUUUUUACAAAUUUUUACAAAUUUCUCACCUAGCUAUUAAAAUUAGUAUUCUCGAAUAAGGUUGAAUGAGGAUGAAGUUAAGAAACUGGUUUUUGUCAUAUGGGGAGUCUGUUUAUAUUUCUCUUUUGCAAACUUUUUUGUUAAAAACCAUUGACCUUAAAUCUCUCUAAAAUAUUAGUGAACAAUCUGUUAUCUAAUGUUGUGCAAUAAAUCUCUAUUUAUUUUGGGUUUUGUUCUCAUUUAUAACAAGGACAUUACGAGAGAAACAUGAUUUUAAACAUAAAAAUUACAUACCAACACGCGUUAUAAUAAUAUUUCUCUAUUAAAACAGAAGCAUGUUUUGUGUUUUAACGGAUUUUUUUAUAUUUUUUUACUAUAUUUUACUACUAGAUAUCUACUAUUGCUGUUAUCAAACAAAAAUUUUAAUUUUUUUUAUUUGUUUCCAAUUUAUAAAAUAAUAUAUUUGAAUUUAAUAUUUAAAAUUAAUUUCGAAAAUUUUAAAUUUUAAUUUAAUUAGUUUAGAUUUUCUUAGAUAUAGUUAGGAUUAAUUAUUAAAAUUAAAAAAAUUAGCUGUUAUUAUUUUUAUAACGUAUUAAAUAAGAUAUUAAUUUAUUUUCUUUUUAAAUAUCCAAAUGUAAAUAAUAUUUUUAUAAUGAUAAUAAUAAACGUUAUAUUAUUAUAUAUUUUAUAAAAAAUUAUUUUAAAAUUUUAAAUAUUUUAAAUUAAAUAUAUAUAUAUUAUAUGGUAAUAUGAAUAGAUAUGAUAAAAUUAUAUUUUUCUAUCCAUGGUUUUUUCCGAUUAAUCGAAUAAAUGAGUUAAAAUUAUGUUUUAUAAUCGUGAUCAAAUUUAUUAGAAAAAAAAAUUUAAAAAUAAAUAAAUUAUAUCUAAACAUAAAAAUAAAUUAUAUCAUUUAUUACAAAUAUAUUAUAUAUAUUAAAAUACAAAUUAGAUUAAAAAAAAAAUUCUCGUGCAAAUGCACAAGAUAGAAUCUAAUUUUUUAUAUUAAAACAUAGUCGUUUUUGAUGGUGCAUUGUCGACAACAGAAUCUAGAGUUAACACUGUUGACGGCGUCCUUUUUUUGUCGACAACAGAAUCAUUUCAUUUAAGCUCAAAGGCAAAACACAUACGAGAACAGAAAACAUGUACAUACACGUGUUAUUGUGUCAAGCCCUGAAACAACACGUGUCGUGCUUAAGCCUGCCCGCAAAUUCAAGCUGCUUCCGUCGUCAUUCUUCAACGCCAGCAGUCACAGACGCCAUCGUAAUCAGUGCUAGCUAAGCUUCACCGCCAGCGACUCCAAUCCCCACAUCCAAUUAAUCUCAUGCCUUGAUGUCUUUCUUUCGCCAAUCUUUCAACUGCUUUUAGAUUUGAUUCUAGAUCUCCAUCUUCAAGGAAGAUUUGUCGCUGAUCAGAUCCAAUUUAUUAAUCUAAGCAAUGUUCAUGGUUGUUCUAAGAAUCGAGCAAGAGGAAAACAACAAAGAUAUUACUCCAAGCCAGAAGAAAAUCUGCAACAAAACUUAAAAGAAAAUCGCUGAAUCGGAGAAAGCAUGGCCGACAAAGAGAUUGCAAAAGGAGAAACCCAAACUUAGCCAGAAUAUUAUUAUCCGAAAAACAGAAAAAGAAAAUUCGAUCAAAAUCAAAAUGUAUAUAAUCAAAACCAAAAAACUUCGGUAAAGAUUCCGAUUUCAGAAAAAAAAUCAGAAAUUGCCUCUCUCUUUCUCUCUCUGAAAAAUAGGUGUGAGAGAGGAGACAUAAAUUUUUUUCUAUUGAUUUUUUUUGUGAGAGAAUCGAGCAAGAGGAUUUUUUUUUGUCGAUAUGGAUUAUAUUGAUUAAACCCAAAAGGCUGAAAUUAAACUGGCCAAUAUUGGGCCUCUCACAAUGAUAGUGAAGAGAUAAGUGGAAAAUAGAUGAUUAAACGUGUCCCAUGAUUCAUCCCCAGGUUAUACCACGUGUCUAUCUUCUACAAUCGCCAUCAUGUCAGCUACUCUGGGGACUCUCCGAUUUCCGUUGUAAUUUCGUACCUCUGCACUAUUUUUGCCGAUCUUCAGUUCCUGAAAUAUAUUUGUCAGAAUGAACAAUUCAUGAUGAAAUUAAGACAACUUCUAAGUUUUAUCCAUCGUCGCCGUCAGAUCUACUCUAUUGAUCAAAACUAUGUCUGCCAUUACUCCAAAUCAAGCAAGAGAAAAACAAUGAAGAUGUUACUCUAAGCAAGAUAAGAAACCUGAAAUAAAACUUAAAAUAAAAACGGUGAUUCUGAGAAGAGGAUAACACAGUCGGGGAAGAGAUCGAAAAGGAAUCCGGACUUUAGUUGGAAAGAGAAUCCGAUAAACAUAUAUUCUUUUGCUUGAUUGACAAAACCAACCCAGACAAUUCUUUUAGCAGGAAAAAAACUUUCCACUCUACUUUGAUUAAUGGAAAUUUUACUUCACAAGCAAAGGAUUCAUAAAUUAGAGUAGCAAAAGAAAAACUGGUGAUUGGAAUGGAAAAUCCGUUAAAACGAAAACUUUAUUAAUUCUAUUAUAUGCAAUAUAGAUAACAAAAAGUAACUAGUCGGAAGAGAUUAGAGAGCAAAAGAGAAACAUUUGCUCUCUCAGAGAGAGAGAGAGUGUGCCUUGAUAAAAUGUUUUGAUCUACG